UCUUGGUCAUUAGAGGAAGUAAAAGUGGUAACAAGGUUUCCGUAGGUGAACCUGCGGAAGGAUCAUUAUUGAAAUAAACCUGAUGGGUUGUUGCUGGUUCUCUAGGGAGCAUGUGCACACCUUGUCAUCUUUAUAUCUCCACCUGUGCACUUUUUGUAGACCUUUCGGGUCUAUGUUGCUUCAUUUACCCCAAUGUAUGUUAAUAGAAUGUUGUGCCUAUAUAAUAUAUACAACUUUCAGCAACGGAUCUCUUGGCUCUCGCAUCGAUGAAGAACGCAGCGAAAUGCGAUAAGUAAUGUGAAUUGCAGAAUUCAGUGAAUCAUCGAAUCUUUGAACGCACCUUGCGCUCCUUGGUAUUCCGAGGAGCAUGCCUGUUUGAGUGUCAUUAAUAUAUCAACCUUCUCUUUUUUGAGUUGUUUGGAUGUGGGGGUUUGCUGGCCUCUUAAAUGAUUCAGCUCCCCUGAAAUGCAUUAGCAGAACAACCUGUUCAUUGGCGUGAUAAUUAUCUAUGCUAUUGAAUGUGAGGGGCAGUUCAGCUUUCUAACCGUCCUCGGACAAUUCAUCAUUAAUGUGACCUCAAAUCAGGUAGGACUACCCGCUGAACUUAAGCAUAUCAAUAAGCGGAGGA
Molecule: ribosomal RNA, 628 nt
Filed under: uncultured Cortinarius
Lineage: Eukaryota; Fungi; Basidiomycota; Agaricomycetes; Agaricales; Cortinariaceae
Description: eukaryotic LSU rRNA
Rfam family: 5.8S ribosomal RNA (bases 232-385)
Source: RNAcentral